GUGAUGAGCACCCAGUAAACGGCUCUCGUAAUAACACCAUGCCUUAAUCAAAAUAAUGCUGCGCUUGAAUAAAUGAUUCUGGUUUAUCAGAUGAUCGACCUCCUCAAGGAAGCAAAGGGUACACAAACCGCCUAGCUGAUUGAAAGAUAUGUCAACCACAAUAUUUUCAACUAAACAUUUUAUUAACUUCACCUUCAAUAGAAAAGGGGAAGAGAACAAUGAAAGGUGAGUGCACACAAAAAUAAAGAAUAUAAACGGUUAUGGUGCACAGGAACACAAAUGAAGAAAUGUGAAGUAUAACAACCAAACUUAAGCAGCAAUUGGCUACUCCAAGUAUCAUAAUAACACAACACUAUAAAUAAAUGAUUGACUGUUCAUGUUAAAAUAUUAGCUACUAAU
RNAcentral lists this unclassified non-coding RNA (399 nucleotides) under Hevea brasiliensis (rubber tree). Lineage: Eukaryota; Viridiplantae; Streptophyta; Magnoliopsida; Malpighiales; Euphorbiaceae. The record is from RNAcentral.